This is a long non-coding RNA of Amborella trichopoda, 200 nucleotides long. RefSeq lists it as uncharacterized. NCBI's taxonomy places the organism in Eukaryota, Viridiplantae, Streptophyta, Magnoliopsida, Amborellales, Amborellaceae. The record is from RefSeq and is a predicted model, not a curated record.
CUAAAAAAAAAAACCGUUAAUAGGUAAAGUAGAAGGCUUAAGUAAGCUACAUAUGAGCAAAUAGGGCAGUGGAAGAGACUAAAGAGUUUUUGUUGAGAGUUGAAUGCACCUUUUGUUGAAAGUUGCAGCCCUACAAUGCAUUGAUCAGGUUUCUAAUCUAAUUGAGUGUUGUCUACAAAGUAUAUGAAUAGAGAAGAGGU